RNAcentral lists this long non-coding RNA (252 nucleotides) under Prunus persica (peach). Its description in RNAcentral is "long non-coding RNA (PPER_LNC002574)". The record is from RNAcentral. Lineage: Eukaryota; Viridiplantae; Streptophyta; Magnoliopsida; Rosales; Rosaceae.
UAUGUUUUAUGUGUGCUUUUUCUAGUGUAAAUGCAGUACUUUUUUUGGUGUUACUUUUGUGACAGCUUUUCGAACAUGGUGACCGAAAUUCGUGGGGGAGCACUUACCAAAAUCUUGGACUCAAAACUUAUUUACUCGACACAUUAUCCAAUUUUAUAAUACAUGUUUCACUCUUGUGUUUUUCAAUGGUGGUUCUUUUUUGUAAAAGUUAAAUUAAAAAAAACUUUCCCACUCUCCUUUGUUGCACUGUUU